GUGGUUGAUAAAGUCAUUACGAAAAGAAGCGUGAUUUGUUAUUCUCUUGAUUUACCUUGUGUAAAAUCCUCGAAUUUGUCCAAAUCUGUUUUGGAGAAUAAGGUAACGAAAUUUUUCAAAUUUGUUUUCAAUUUAUAUUCGUGCCUUAAACAGUUUAUGUGGUUGUACAUGAAGUUUGAGUUCCAUUUGACAAAGGUUAACUCAACAACGGAGAUUCGACUACACUAUGCCCCCGAUGAGCGAAGGUUUGUUUUAAAUGAAAAAGGUAAAAUCGACCCUUAUUCUUCUGCUUAUUGAGGUAAGAUGCUUGAAACCUUUGAAACACUUUUGUACUCCUCGGAUAGUGAUAAAGAUCGUGUUGAUGAACACUUAGAUCGAAACGUGCUUGACUGUCCUAUUUUAUUUAUUCUAUCUGUUUUGAUGGUUGAUAAAAAGAUUCUUGUUUUUGAUAAUGCAUGUGUGAGGGAAUCUAUAGACCGUCGAUUAAUGCAUGGUAUGAUUAUGCAACUCUG
This 512-nucleotide long non-coding RNA is filed under the name Gossypium barbadense (sea-island cotton). RNAcentral's name for it is "long non-coding RNA (GBAR_LNC000610)". Lineage: Eukaryota; Viridiplantae; Streptophyta; Magnoliopsida; Malvales; Malvaceae. The record is from RNAcentral.